GAUGAACGCUGGCGGCGUGCCUAAUACAUGCAAGUCGAGCGAACGGACGAGAAGCUUGCUUCUCUGAUGUUAGCGGCGGACGGGUGUGUAACACGUGGAUAACCUACCUAUAAGACUGGGAUAACUUCGGGAAACCGGAGCUAAUACCGGAUAAUAUUUUGAACCGCAUGGUUCAAAAGUGAAAGACGGUCUUGCUGUCACUUAUAGAUGGAUCCGCGCUGCAUUAGCUAGUUGGUAAGGUAACGGCUUACCAAGGCAACGAUGCAUAGCCGACCUGAGAGGGUGAUCGGCCACACUGGAACUGAGACACGGUCCAGACUCCUACGGGAGGCAGCAGUAGGGAAUCUUCCGCAAAGGGCGAAAGCCUGACGGAGCAACGCCGCGUGAGUGAUGAAGGUCUUCGGAUCGUAAAACUCUGUUAUUGGGGAAGAACAUAUGUGUAAGUAACUGUGCACAUCUUGACGGUACCUAAUCAGAAAGCCACGGCUAACUACGUG
Molecule: ribosomal RNA, 497 nt
Filed under: uncultured bacterium
Lineage: Bacteria
Description: partial 16S ribosomal RNA
Rfam family: Bacterial small subunit ribosomal RNA
Source: RNAcentral